RNAcentral lists this long non-coding RNA (450 nucleotides) under Malus domestica (apple). RNAcentral describes it as "long non-coding RNA (MDOM_LNC011770)". The record is from RNAcentral. Lineage: Eukaryota; Viridiplantae; Streptophyta; Magnoliopsida; Rosales; Rosaceae.
GACAAUCUUGUCCAUCCAUCUUAACCUAAUUUUUUGAACUGUCAAAUAUGACAGCGCAUCGUGCCUUUGCCCUAACUUAAAGAUAUUUUGAAAUCCGUCUUCUUUUCCACAAGCGAAAUACAUUUGUAGAUUUAUCUGAUCACGUCAUUUGCAAUAUAAUUUUCUUAAGUGUGGGCAAACAGGUCGAUACUAGUCAAUCACAAACUAAUUAGUCUUACACACUUGACGAUAAUUUUGUUCGUUACGGGAACUGCUUUAAUUGGACAAUCGUAAACAAGAAUCUCCUCCCCAAACUUUUAGUCGGCAGCUCGUAUUUCACCGAAAUAUACUAGUUUUUUAAUUGGAUUUGUAUUCUUGUGUCAAUCAACUUGUCCAGUUGCCCUUUGGGGAGUCCAGAAGUAGAAAAAUAAAAAAAGUACAAUCACAACUUGCCCUUUUGGGUGCUCGGGG